This 676-nucleotide long non-coding RNA is filed under the name Elaeis guineensis (African oil palm). RNAcentral's name for it is "long non-coding RNA (EGUI_LNC063856)". The record is from RNAcentral. Lineage: Eukaryota; Viridiplantae; Streptophyta; Magnoliopsida; Arecales; Arecaceae.
GAGAGUUCUGCCGCCCAUCAGCGCCCUUUUCAACCCUAAGCAUUCUUUGCGUCAAUCCCCGCCAUCUCCGCCGGCUCCCCGCCUACGUCGGGCCAAUCUAGGUUGGUCCCGAAACUUCUCUUGUCAUUGCUGUUGUUCCUUCCUCUUCUUGCUUUGUUUGUUCAGCUUCUGAGGGUUUAUUCGCAAUCUUUCCCGAUCUUUCGGGAUUUCCUUCUUUCUUUUCUCUUGUUGCAGGCACGGACGUAGGAGUUGCCCGGGCAGCCCUCACCGUCGACGUCCCUUACGAUGCCGAGCCUUCAGUCCUCCGAGCCCUUUCGAGGAGUUCUCCCAUCGGGGCUUCUGCCCCGGAGGUCCGUCUCGAGGGGAUGCUGAGGAUCGAGAGGAGGAGGAGAAGAGAAAUAGUGGCCCGCAAGUUCAGCGGCCGUCGAGCUGCCACUGAAGGCUUCCACAGCUUUGAAGGGGACUCGAGGGAGAAUUUCUUUAACAACAGGGAUUUAAUAAUGGAACUGGCCGGUGAGUGCAUCCCGUCCGAGAAUUUUGUAGUUGAAUGGGGCGACACCGGUCAAGGGGGUAGAGUUGCCGUCAUAAGCUGUGGCGGGCUUCUUGAUGUCGUCGGGGUCGAGGGACCAGAGGCGGUCGGUGCUGACGGCGAAACAGUAGAACUUGUUGUGGGGGU